GGUUAAGCGACCAAGCGUACACGGUGGAUGCCCUGGCAGUCAGAGGCGAUGAAGGACGUGCUAAUCUGCGAAAAGCGCCGGUAAGGUGAUAUGAACCGUUAUAACCGGCGAUGUCCGAAUGGGGAAACCCAGUGUGACUCGUCACACUAUCAUUAACUGAAUCCAUAGGUUAAUGAGGCGAACCGGGGGAACUGAAACAUCUAAGUACCCCGAGGAAAAGAAAUCAACCGAGAUUCCCCCAGUAGCGGCGAGCGAACGGGGAGGAGCCCAGAGCCUGAAUCAGCAUGUGUGUUAGUGGAAGCGUCUGGAAAGGCGCGCGAUACAGGGUGAGAGCCCCGUACACAAAAGCGCACAUGCUGUGAGCUCGAUGAGUAGGGCGGGACACGUGGUAUCCUGUCUGAAUAUGGGGGGACCAUCCUCCAAGGCUAAAUACUCCUGACUGACCGAUAGUGAACCAGUACCGUGAGGGAAAGGCGAAAAGAACCCCGGCGAGGGGAGUGAAACAGAACCUGAAACCGUGUACGUACAAGCAGUGGGAGCCCCACCACUAAGCCAGUGGUGAACUCCACAUACGCAUCCUUUGCGGAAGAUGCGGUUAACGGAGCGAAAGCGACGUUCAACCUCAGAAGAAGCAGAGGGGGCUUAGUGGUGGGGUGACUGCGUACCUUUUGUAUAAUGGGUCAGCGACUUAUAUUCUGUAGCAAGGUUAACCGCAUAGGGGAGCCGAAGGGAAACCGAGUCUUAAUUGGGCGUUAAGUUGCAGGGUAUAGACCCGAAACCCGGUGAUCUAGCCAUGGGCAGGUUGAAGGUUGGGUAACACUAACUGGAGGACCGAACCGACUAAUGUUGAAAAAUUAGCGGAUGACCUGUGGCUGGGGGUGAAAGGCCAAUCAAACCGGGAGAUAGCUGGUUCUCCCCGAAAGCUAUUUAGGUAGCGCCUCGUGAACUCAUCUCCGGGGGUAGAGCACUGUUUCGGCUAGGGGGCCAUCCCGGCUUACCAACCCGAUGCAAACUGCGAAUACCGGAGAAUGUUAUCACGGGAGACACACGGCGGGUGCUAACGUCCGUCGUGAAGAGGGAAACAACCCAGACCGCCAGCUAAGGUCCCAAAGUCAUGGUUAAGUGGGAAACGAUGUGGGAAGGCCCAGACAGCCAGGAUGUUGGCUUAGAAGCAGCCAUCAUUUAAAGAAAGCGUAAUAGCUCACUGGUCGAGUCGGCCUGCGCGGAAGAUGUAACGGGGCUAAACCAUGCACCGAAGCUGCGGCAGCGACACUGUGUGUUGUUGGGUAGGGGAGCGUUCUGUAAGCCGUUGAAGGUGUGUCGUG
RNAcentral lists this ribosomal RNA (1325 nucleotides) under Salmonella enterica. RNAcentral describes it as "partial 23S ribosomal RNA". It matches the Rfam family "Bacterial large subunit ribosomal RNA", at positions 1 to 1265 of the family's 2925-position model. The record is from RNAcentral. Lineage: Bacteria; Pseudomonadati; Pseudomonadota; Gammaproteobacteria; Enterobacterales; Enterobacteriaceae.